GACGUAGGGCGCGAGCGUUGUCCGGAUUUAUUGGGCGUAAAGAGCUCGUAGGCGGCUUGUCGCGUCGUCCGUGAAAACCUGCAGCUCAACUGCAGGCUUGCGGUCGAUACGGGCAGGCUAGAGUUCGGUAGGGGAGACUGGAAUUCCGGGUGUAGCGGUGGAAUGCGUAGAGAUCCGGAAGAACACCGGUGGCGAAGGCGGCCUGCUGGGCAGUUGCUGACACUGAGGCGCGACAGCGUGGGGAGCAAACAGG
RNAcentral lists this ribosomal RNA (253 nucleotides) under uncultured bacterium. Its description in RNAcentral is "partial 16S ribosomal RNA". It matches the Rfam family "Bacterial small subunit ribosomal RNA", at positions 524 to 776 of the family's 1533-position model. The record is from RNAcentral.